ACCACGACGGAAAGUGUUGCGAGUUCAUCGACAGCGCGUAGGUGAGCCCGUCAUCAUCAGCAGCAUAGUGAAGACUGUGUAGCAAGGGCUGUGCUCUUUAUAUAAAGAAAGAGAAGAGAAGAGGGACCAGUAUCAAAGAAGAGGAACCAUAAACACGAAAGAAGAGGAGCACCUUAAAUACAAAUAAUGGGAAACCUUGCCUCAAAAUUAAAGGGCCUGCUUUCAUCACUUGGUGGAUCCGAGGCUCGCAUAUUAAUGCUUGGACUGGACGCUGCCGGUAAAACCACCAUCCUAUACAAGCUCAAACUGAACGAGACAGUCUCUUCCAUACCAACGAUAGGCUUCAACGUGGAGACUGUGACACCCGUCAAAGGUGUAACAUUCACCGUCUGGGAUGUAGGUGGACAGGACAAAAUCAGGCCAUUAUGGAAGCAUUACUUCAACAAUACUGAGGGCCUUGUUUAUGUAGUGGACUCCUCCGACAGAGCUAGGAUCAACGAGAGUAGAGACGAACUAAAAUGGAUACUGGAUUCCGAUGAGAUGAGAGGAGUACCUGUCGUUGUCCUCUCCAACAAGCAAGAUCUUCCCAAUGCCCUCCCGCCAGGUGAAGUGGGUAGCAGACUCGGUCUUAACCAGAUGCGUACCAGGGACUGGUACAUACAAGGCACGUGUGCCACUAAUGGCGAUGGGCUCUUUGAGGGUAUGCAAGAGUUAGCUAGACUAGUGAAGGAAUUCAAGAAAACCAGAAGAUAGAUCCUAUAGCUUUAACAUUAUCACUCUCUCUCCUCUCCCCUCUUUACUUUCUUUUAUUAAGAGCGCAAGCAUACAUUGUUUAGUGAGUUUUAUCAAUGUAAUGAUGACUUUAUCAUUCUCAGUUAUAUUAUUAUUAUGCUGUUUAUGUGUGUACUAACUAAUCAAUAAAAUUAUUAUUAUCAUUAUUGUAUGUAUUAUUAAUUAUCUUCUUAAGUUUGAUUCAAUUAUUAUAAUAAGUGCAUUUAUGCUCUUCUUUUACAUGUCACAACUGUCCAAUUAUUUACUUGCACAAACA
Amphimedon queenslandica is the source of this 1048-nucleotide RNA transcript. It is a transcript of the gene named ADP-ribosylation factor 3 pseudogene, with no coding region annotated. NCBI's taxonomy places the organism in Eukaryota, Metazoa, Porifera, Demospongiae, Haplosclerida, Niphatidae. The transcript has a single exon. The record is from RefSeq and is a predicted model, not a curated record.